AUUGAACGCUGGCGGCAGGCCUAACACAUGCAAGUCGAACGGUAACAGGAAGAUGCUUGCUUCUUUGCUGACGAGUGGCGGACGGGUGAGUAAUGUCUGGGAAACUGCCUGAUGGAGGGGGAUAACUACUGGAAACGGUAGCUAAUACCGCAUAACGUCGCAAGACCAAAGAGGGGGACCUUCGGGCCUCUUGCCAUCGGGUGCCCAGGUGGGAUUAGCUAGUAGGUGGGGUAACGGCUCACCUAGGCGACGAUCCCUAGCUGGUCUGAGAGGAUGACCAGCCACACUGGAACUGAGACACGGUCCAGACUCCUACGGGAGGCAGCAGUGGGGAAUAUUGCACAAUGGGCGCAAGCCUGAUGCAGCCAUGCCGCGUGUAUGAAGAAGGCCUUCGGGUUGUAAAGUACUUUCAGCGGGGAGGAAGGGAGUUAAGUUAAUACCUUUGCUCAUUGACGUUACCCGCAGAAGAAGCACCGGCUAACUCCGUG
RNAcentral lists this ribosomal RNA (488 nucleotides) under uncultured bacterium. RNAcentral's name for it is "partial 16S ribosomal RNA". It matches the Rfam family "Bacterial small subunit ribosomal RNA", at positions 30 to 507 of the family's 1533-position model. The record is from RNAcentral.